GACGAACGCUGGCGGCGUGCUUAACACAUGCAAGUCGAACGGAAAGGCCCUGCUUUUGUGGGGUGCUCGAGUGGCGAACGGGUGAGUAACACGUGAGUAACCUGCCCUUGACUUUGGGAUAACUUCAGGAAGCUGGGGCUAAUACCGGAUAGGAGCUCCUGCUGCAGGGUGGGGGUUGGAAAGUUUCGGCGGGUGGGGAUGGACUGGCGGCUUAUCAGGUUGGUGGUGGGGUAGUGGCUUACCAAGGCGUUGAUGUGUAGACGGCCUGAGAGGAGGAUCGGCCACCUUGGAGGUGAGACACGGACCAGGCUCCUACGGGAGGCAGCAGUGUGGAAUUGUGGACAGUGGGCGAAAGCCUGAUCCAGCCAUGCCGCGUGCAGGAUGAAGGCCUUCGGGUUGUAAACUGCUUUUGUACGGAACGAAAAGCCUCUUUCUAAUACAGAGGGGUAAUGACGGUACCGUAAGAAGAAGCACCGGCUAACUACGUG
Molecule: ribosomal RNA, 488 nt
Filed under: uncultured bacterium
Lineage: Bacteria
Description: partial 16S ribosomal RNA
Rfam family: Bacterial small subunit ribosomal RNA
Source: RNAcentral